RNAcentral lists this ribosomal RNA (429 nucleotides) under Gemmatimonadota bacterium. RNAcentral's name for it is "Gemmatimonadetes bacterium partial 16S ribosomal RNA". It matches the Rfam family "Bacterial small subunit ribosomal RNA", at positions 355 to 776 of the family's 1533-position model. Lineage: Bacteria; Pseudomonadati; Gemmatimonadota. The record is from RNAcentral.
UAGGGAAUCUUCUGCAAUGGACGAAAGUCUGACCGAGCAACGCCGCGUGAGUGAAGAAGGUUCUCGGAUCGUAAAACUCUGUUGUUAGAGAAGAACAAGGACGUUAGUAACUGAACGUCCCCUGACGGUAUCUAACCAGAAAGCCACGGCUAACUACGUGCCAGCAGCCGCGGUAAUACGUAGGUGGCAAGCGUUGUCCGGAUUUAUUGGGCGUAAAGCGAGCGCAGGCGGUUUCUUAAGUCUGAUGUGAAAGCCCCCGGCUCAACCGGGGAGGGUCAUUGGAAACUGGGAGACUUGAGUGCAGAAGAGGAGAGUGGAAUUCCAUGUGUAGCGGUGAAAUGCGUAGAUAUAUGGAGGAACACCAGUGGCGAAGGCGGCUCUCUGGUCUGUAACUGACGCUGAGGCUCGAAAGCGUGGGGAGCAAACAGG